Non-coding RNA from Triticum aestivum (bread wheat), 135 nucleotides. Lineage: Eukaryota; Viridiplantae; Streptophyta; Magnoliopsida; Poales; Poaceae. The record is from Rfam.
UAACUACUCCCUCUGUCCCAAAUUUCUUGUCUUAGAUUUGUCUAGAUACGGAUGUAUCUAAUACUAAAAUGUGACUUGAUACAUCUGUAUCUAGACAAAUCUAAGACAAGAAUUUUGGGAUAGAGGGAGUAAUUU